Molecule: RNA transcript, 695 nt
Organism: Monomorium pharaonis (pharaoh ant)
Lineage: Eukaryota; Metazoa; Arthropoda; Insecta; Hymenoptera; Formicidae
Exons: 2
Source: RefSeq, a predicted model, not a curated record
AUAUAUAAGAGAUUGUGCGAAAUACGAAAGGCCAGUGUCAGUUGUAAACUGACAAGUAACAGAGCAUUCAAUUAUCAAUGGAACAUCGCAGUUUUAUCCGUACCGUUCUCGCUCUAAUAGCGACGACCGAAGUCACGUCAGCACCUACAAACGAUUUUGGAUUAGGACGCAAAACCAUCUGGCAAGACGUCGGAAAACACAGUUUCUACGGACCGUGGAACAUCUUGGUAAAACGAAAUGGGGACUAUAUUGAUUACAGCGAUUAUGGUGUUCACUUCGAACAGUUCCGACCUAAUUCACCGGAACUUCCAUACGACGACGUAUCGAUAGCUAACGGAUAUAUUGACGCGUUGCCCACGGCUUACGAUAGCGACCUGUCGGAAGUGAACACGCUACUCAACUUCCGUGGGCCUUGCUGAUUUCCGCACUGGAGUUCGCACUGCUGAUUGGAUCGACCCAAGUACCGACCCAAGUUCCAAAGAACAGCACUGGGAGGAUAUUGCCUCUCAUAAAGUCGAAGAUACGGAGAAACUCGAUGACUUUGUCACUCCAACCGCACCGAGAUAACCAAAUUUUGUAAAAUUAAAUGAAGAAGUGGAAUAGACAUACAAUGGACCUUGUGUGUGUAAUUCUUAUCCAAGUUUAUUAAUUUCACGAAGAGUUAAAAUAAAUUAUCGUUUUAGUAUUAAUAGAAA